Molecule: ribosomal RNA, 216 nt
Filed under: Glomeromycotina sp.
Lineage: Eukaryota; Fungi; Glomeromycota
Description: partial small subunit ribosomal RNA
Rfam family: Eukaryotic small subunit ribosomal RNA (bases 44-216)
Source: RNAcentral
GGGUCAGUAGGUUGGUCGUGCCACCGGUACGUACUGGUCUCACUGAUUCCUCCUUCCUGAAGAACCGUAAUGCCAUUAAUUUGGUGUUGCGGGGAAACAGGACUGUUACUUUGAAAAAAUUAGAGUGUUUAAAGCAAGCUAACGCUCGAAUACAUUAGCAUGGAAUAAUGAAAUAGGACGAUCGAUCCUAUUUUGCUGGUUUCUAGGAUUGACGUG